GGGAGGAAAAAUAAUCGAUCUCACUUCAUAAAUGGAGGAGAAACAAUAAGGCACUGUCAUGCUAAAUGUGAAUAAAAAAUCUAUUUCAACCAUUUUAUUCAAAUAAUUAAUGAGAAAUCAGAUAGAUUCCAAAGACAUAGUUUUAUUCACAAAGUGGAAACACAAUUCAUGAUUAAUACAAAAUUUUCAUAAAUCAUACCAAAU
Molecule: unclassified non-coding RNA, 204 nt
Filed under: Hevea brasiliensis (rubber tree)
Lineage: Eukaryota; Viridiplantae; Streptophyta; Magnoliopsida; Malpighiales; Euphorbiaceae
Source: RNAcentral